ACUCAGUGAUGCUUGCGCACGUCUAACUAAUUGUCCCGUAAGGACGAUAGCUGUGAGUAGGCUUUGUACCUGUGGAACCAAGGAAACGUCCGCUGAAUUUGGAAAUUCAGAAGCUGGAUCCUUCCCUCUGAUCCUCUGGGACUGAGGAACUGUACCUUAGGGGGUGCACACCUUGGAAAAAGCACACACCUUCAGUUUGUUGGACAGCAGCAUCAAAAACAAACCAACCAACCAACACCUUAAAAACAUUUAUUUAUUUUAUGGAGGCAUUCUCUGAUUAAAAAAAUGCUAAGACUUUACCAAAGAUUUCACAGGGACACAGAAGACAAGCAGGGAAUGAAGAUCCAGCCUGCCUCCAUCUUAGGCUUAAAAGCCAUCUUAUUAUAAAGACAAAGGAGGUCCAUUCCUAUUUAUGAUUAAACCUCUGUUUUUC
This 433-nucleotide long non-coding RNA is filed under the name Mus pahari (shrew mouse). RNAcentral's name for it is "lncRNA (MGP_PahariEiJ_G0003373.1)". The record is from RNAcentral. Lineage: Eukaryota; Metazoa; Chordata; Mammalia; Rodentia; Muridae.